UGGGGAAUUUUUGGACAAUGGGCGAAAGCCUGAUCCAGCAAUGCCGCGUGUGUGAAGAAGGCCUUCGGGUUGUAAAGCACUUUUGUCCGGAAAGAAAUCCUUGGCUCUAAUACAGUCGGGGGAUGACGGUACCGGAAGAAUAAGCACCGGCUAACUACGUGCCAGCAGCCGCGGUAAUACGUAGGGUGCAAGCGUUAAUCGGAAUUACUGGGCGUAAAGCGUGCGCAGGCGGUUUGCUAAGACCGAUGUGAAAUCCCCGGGCUCAACCUGGGAACUGCAUUGGUGACUGGCAGGCUAGAGUAUGGCAGAGGGGGGUAGAAUUCCACGUGUAGCAGUGAAAUGCGUAGAGAUGUGGAGGAAUACCGAUGGCGAAGGCAGCCCCCUGGGCCAAUACUGACGCUCAUGCACGAAAGCGUGGGGAGCAAACAGGAUUAGAUACCCUGGUAGUCCACGCCCUAAACGAUGUCAACUAGUUGUUGGGGAUUCAUUUCCUUAGUAACGUAGCUAACGCGUGAAGUUGACCGCCUGGGGAGU
Molecule: ribosomal RNA, 534 nt
Filed under: uncultured bacterium
Lineage: Bacteria
Description: partial 16S ribosomal RNA
Rfam family: Bacterial small subunit ribosomal RNA
Source: RNAcentral